UUAGAUUCACGCACAAACUCG
Molecule: microRNA, 21 nt
Filed under: Citrus sinensis (sweet orange)
Lineage: Eukaryota; Viridiplantae; Streptophyta; Magnoliopsida; Sapindales; Rutaceae
Also listed under: 22 other names
Description: csi-miR403b-3p
Gene: csi-miR403a-3p
Source: miRBase by way of RNAcentral